GGGGCGGUGCAGCUGCUUAGCUGACGACCGGCGUACGGGUGCGUAACGCGUAUGCAACCUACCUAUUACUAGAGGAUAGCCCAGGGAAACGUGGAUUAAUACUCUAUGGUACUAUAAAGUAGCCUUACUUAAUAGUUAAAGAUUUAUCGGUAAUAGAUGGGCAUGCGUGACAUUAGCUAGUUGGUAAGGUAACGGCUUACCAAGGCGACGAUGUCUAGGGGACCUGAGAGGGUGAUCCCCCACACUGGUACUGAGACACGGACCAGACUCCUACGGGAGGCAGCAGUAGGGAAUAUUGGACAAUGGAGGCAACUCUGAUCCAGCCAUGCCGCGUGUAGGAAGAAGGCUUUCUGAGUUGUAAACUACUUUUAUACGGGAAGAGAUAGCCAUGCGUGGUGAAGAGACGGUACCGUAAGAAUAAGCACCGGCUAACUCCGUGCCAGCAGCCGCGGUAAUACGGAGGGUGCAAGCGUUGUCCGGAAUUAUUGGGUUUAAAGGGUGCGUAGGCGGACUGAUAAGUCAGAGGUGAAAUCCAAUUGCUUAACAAUUGAACUGCCUUUGAUACUGUUAGUCUUGAAUUAGGUAUAGGUAGGCGGAAUUUAUUGUGUAGCGGUGAAAUGCAUAGAUACGAUAAAGAACUCCGAUAGCGU
This 650-nucleotide ribosomal RNA is filed under the name uncultured bacterium. RNAcentral's name for it is "bacterial SSU rRNA". It matches the Rfam family "Bacterial small subunit ribosomal RNA", at positions 65 to 718 of the family's 1533-position model. The record is from RNAcentral.